This is a non-coding RNA of Podarcis lilfordi (Lilford's wall lizard), 70 nucleotides long. Lineage: Eukaryota; Metazoa; Chordata; Lepidosauria; Squamata; Lacertidae. The record is from the annotation of a GenBank genome assembly.
GGGGAAAGUGCACAGCUCAGCGGUAAAGCAUCUGCUUUGCAUGUAGGAGGUUCAAUCCCCAAUGUCUCCA